GUAGGUAGUAAAUUUAGGUCCACUACAACUGGGGCUUUUGUUUCAAAACUUCCUGAAAUCUCCAUUAAUCUUCACAGGAAGUCUCUGAGGUACAUGGAACUUCUCUGAACCUAAGGUUCCUCAGAUUGAUGACUUAUCUCCAUUUUUCAAAUAAGAGGCAGGCCAGCAGAGGGCCAGAAUAUAACUACUGAACAAAAUUCCAUGCAAUCAGAAGACCUACGACUAAUGAAGACAAACAUUCUUAGGGAAUAUGAGAGAAAAAAGAUGCAAAGAAGUUUCAGUUGUUAAAUGCAAAAUGGCAAAGGUUUCUUUCCAUUUGUCCAAAAUGAAAAGCAAAAACAGGAUAUAUCUUUAUACAACCAAUUUGGAAAGCAGGUUGGCAGUUUCUUUAAAUGUUAAACAUAUACUUUCCACAUAACCCAGCCGAUCCUGGAUAUAUACCCAAAAGAAACAAAAGCGUGUGUCCACACAAGGACUUAAACAUGAGUAUUCACAGCAGUCUUAGUUGUAAGAGCUGCAAAGUGGGAACAGUACAAACGUUCAGCAACAGAACAGGAUCUGUCAACACUCCUACUACUUGCGAAGAGCUGGAGAAGAGCUUUUGCCCUUACUCCCUCUCCGUGGCAGAAGUGACUUACCUGAUGGAUGAGAUUAAAAGAAUUGGCCUUUUCUCUGGCUUACCAACAUGGAGGCAGCCUAU
Molecule: long non-coding RNA, 700 nt
Filed under: Equus caballus (horse)
Lineage: Eukaryota; Metazoa; Chordata; Mammalia; Perissodactyla; Equidae
Description: lncRNA (ENSECAG00000044303.1)
Source: RNAcentral